This 384-nucleotide ribosomal RNA is filed under the name uncultured bacterium. Its description in RNAcentral is "bacterial SSU rRNA". It matches the Rfam family "Bacterial small subunit ribosomal RNA", at positions 30 to 416 of the family's 1533-position model. The record is from RNAcentral.
AUUGAACGCUGGCGGCAUGCCUUACACAUGCAAGUCGAACGGCAGCGGACCUUCGGGUGCCGGCGAGUGGCGAGCGGGUGAGUAAUAUAUCGGAACGUACCUUUCAGUGGGGGAUAACGUAGCGAAAGUUACGCUAAUACCGCAUAUUCUGUGAGCAGGAAAGCGGGGGAUCGCAAGACCUUGCGCUGAUUGAGCGGCCGAUAUCAGAUUAGCUAGUUGGUGAGGUAAAGGCUCACCAAGGCGACGAUCUGUAGCGGGUCUGAGAGGAUGAUCCGCCACACUGGAACUGAGACACGGUCCAGACUCCUACGGGAGGCAGCAGUGGGGAAUUUUGGACAAUGGGCGCAAGCCUGAUCCAGCCAUGCCGCGUGAGUGAAGAAGGCC